Paraprevotella clara CAG:116 is the source of this 73-nucleotide small RNA. NCBI's taxonomy places the organism in Bacteria, Pseudomonadati, Bacteroidota, Bacteroidia, Bacteroidales, Prevotellaceae. The record is from Rfam.
AAAGUUUCAUUAUAGAUAGAUUAUAAUUGAAAUUUUUGUGGUUGAAGCACCCGAAGGGACACCGGGUGCUUUU